CAAGUGAGCUGCAUCUAAAGAGACCCACAGGAAUUAAUAAAAAUGUCUCCAAUUUCAUGGCCGCAGUGGUUUCCUGCUUUUGAGAGAUCACAAAAGAAAAUCACUGAAUGCCACAAUUUAAUUAUGUAUUUCAGGGUGUCUCUGGAUGUAUUGCUCCUUUUUGGAAAUUCUGCAUCCCCAUUCUGGUCCCUCUCUUUGUCUUUCCCCAUCAUUCCACGUCACGCUUUCAUUUUUCUUUUACUUUCUCUCAGCACUCAUUUCCAUUUCUUUUCCUCUUUUUUUUUUCUUAUUUCAAAUUUCUCAUUCAGAUCUCAUCCCCUGUCCUUUCUGUCUUGCCCGGCCCCCUCCUUUUUUUGUACCCUUGUGUUCUCUUUUAUAUUGCUGCCUCUCUCCACCAGUGCUCUGAUUCAUUCCUCCUCUGCUUCACUCUUUUACAUGGGCAGGUGGCAGAGCAGCUGGCCUACUAUGGCCAUGUGUCAGAGACAGUAAUCACAGAGGAGAUGUUUGACGCCGCUGUGCAAUUUGGCACAGUGCAGGGUGACCCCACCCAGAGCUGAGCAAGACGACCUGUUUGGAUAGCCCCCCGGUUGCCCCAAGCACCGACUGGGAAAGGAGCAUCAAGGACGGCUCACCUCACACCUCAACGGCCUCGCAGGUGGGCUCCUCAGGGGAAGAGGGGGAGACGGUUGGCUGUCAAAUGACACGAGGCGGCAGAUCUACAAAAGGAACCGUUAUGAGAUGUGGUUAUUAAGGAGUUAUGUUGAUGAUCUCUACUCGAGCCAGACUCGUGCUGCGCUUGGCUGUCUGUCUUUUGACAUCAUCACACAACACCUGCUCUUCAUAAGGUAAAACUACUGGCUGAAGACACAACUCUGGCCAGGAAUCCAAGGCCCAAAGCCACCGCGGUCAGGGUUGUUAGCCUGGUUACAAACAGGGGAAAGGUGGUCACUUGGAAGAACAAGCAGCCAAAACGUAUCAAUCCUGCAUCUUCCUCAAAAAGCCUCCCAUUUCCACUGUGAGCAGCAACUAUAAACUUUUGUGUCUUCAGGAUUACCUUUCCAUCACGGGAUGAAUGAAGUGUGAAAAGCAAUCUGAGAAUCGCCAGGCCACUUCUGCGGAUGCAAUUAUGCCAAUGGCAGAUCAUUUUCUGACCUUUAUCCUCCAGCCAGUGUUGAUGGCAGUUUGCCACUGUGACAGACUGCUUUUUGUUUUCAUGUAUUUUACAGUUGUGUGACAGCUGAAAACCUGGCUCUUAAAGGCUGAGGUGCUCAUCCGUUUGAAAGACAGCCUGACUUUUUGUGCUGCUCUUUUUCUUUCGCUCUCUAUUUACUUAUGUUGUGUAUGUCCCUGUCAGUGUAACAUUCUCAUUAUUUCUUUACUGCCACUUCUGUCUCCUUCCCUCUCUCUCUUCCUCUGUAUUUUUUGUCCCAUUUCUCUCUUUCUGUCUCCGUAUUACGUGUAUUUCUAUCAGGUAUUUUCCAAAGUCUGUGUCCAGGACCAAACCAGUGUUUUUGUUCUGGCUGAUGCCUUCAUUCAAAGGUUCACGGUCCUGCUUCAGGUAAAUUGCUCCUUCUGACAAACAACCACGAGCACAGAUACAGACACACACCUUUGAACGUAGUGUUGUAGUCCAGUUUCUCAAUUCUGCAGGUUUGUGCUUUUCCAUCCAUUUCAUCUUGUUGUCAAGCUGGUUUUGUCACGUGUUGUAUUUUUGCAUUUGCACAUAGUCCUGUUUACCUGUGCUCAUAUGUUUUUGCUAUUUUGCAAACUGGUGAGCUGUCAUCUCUCAUGGAAUACAUAGUCUGUCUCAUUUGUGAAGAUUUCCUGCAUUAUUUUUUUUUAAAUUCCUGUUUCCCUUUUCCUCCUCAAUUAAAAUCAAAAUACAAAAUACAUUUCUCCUAAAAAAAUUAUUGAUUCGAUUGCAGUUCUGUGACAUAAGUACAUUUCACACUGAUUUCCAAAUUGACUUGUCUAUGAACUCUCCAUUCUACUUGUAUAAUUUACACUCUUAUCACUGCUAC
Astatotilapia calliptera (eastern happy) is the source of this 2021-nucleotide long non-coding RNA. NCBI's taxonomy places the organism in Eukaryota, Metazoa, Chordata, Actinopteri, Cichliformes, Cichlidae. The record is from Ensembl.